This is an RNA transcript of Felis catus (domestic cat), 3413 nucleotides long. RefSeq lists it as uncharacterized. The record is from RefSeq and is a predicted model, not a curated record. Lineage: Eukaryota; Metazoa; Chordata; Mammalia; Carnivora; Felidae. The transcript has 2 exons.
GUUACUCAAGGGGAGGAGGUGUGGUCAAGGUGAAGGACACAGAACAAGAUAGAGUCGGCAGGCGUAGGCCCGCCCUUUCAGUCAUAAGUUCCUUUGUGGUGUAUGUUAGGUUUGGGGUGUCCAUCAUGCAUGCAAAUGGCAGCCGAAUAAUCAAUUGCAGAUACAGGCCUGGAGUUCAAUAAUAUUUGCGUCUGAGGAUCAGGCUGGAGUUACCAAGUCAGCAGUCUCCAGCUUUAACAGAUGGUAUUUGAAGCCAUCAGACUGGAGUAGCUCAACAGGGGAAUGAGGGCACAGAGAGGAAGAAAGGUCAGAUGACCCAGCACCCGCCAGGCUGGAGAAGGAGGAGGAGCUUGUAAGAGAGAAGAAUCAGGAGAGAUCAUUAUUAAAGCGAAACAGAGGACUACGCUGAAAAUCAGGAGACUGUUGCUGAAAAGGCCACUCCCAAUCUUCCACUUCACACACUGUGUAAACUUGAGCAAACUUCUCUAGGUCUUGGUUUCCUUAACUAGAGAGUAUGAUCAUUUCCACUUUGCAAAGGCUUUUUGGUGAUAAUUAAGGAGUUAAAGAAGCCCAAAAUGGGGUCAUUUGUGCCGCUCCCCCACAACAGGAACUCAAGACUUAUUUAGUUUCAAUCUGUCCCAGGACUGUGGCCUUUUAACACCUGAAAUUUCCUGAUGGGCACUAGUGAGGUCAUCUGCAUGACAAAAACCCUGCUUUUCCUUCCCUCCCCCCAAAAUAUAACAACACUUUUUUUUUCUUUUGCUGAUAAUUGUCCCUCCUUCCUAUAAAAAUCUUCCAUUUUGUUACAACUCCUUGGAGCAUCUCUACUUCCCAGAUGGGAUGCUGCCCAUUCAUGAAUUGCUUAACAAAGCCAAAUCAAGAUCUUAAAAUUUACCUGAAACUAAUAUAAGACAGUAAAUUACACUGGAAUUAAAAAAAAAAAAAUCUUGACAUUUACUUGGUAAAAAAAAAAAAAAAAAAAAAAUUUAACACAGGUGACUCGUGAAAACUAUCGGUAACAGUUUCGGCUCUCCAGAAGUACCUCUUAUAAUUCGUAAGUGCUCAAUACUUGUAGGAAGAAUGAGGUCUAGGGGGUCGGGCAGGCCGGCGCUGCCUUAAGAAAGCCCUGACUGAUCGGGCUUCGGUUUGCUGGCCCCGUAGGCCGCUGGGCGCCCACAAAGGGGCCCCGCCACAGGUCUUGCUGUCCCGGCGGCCUCCGGAUGCCAUCAGAGGGGCGAGAGCGGGAAACAAACAAGGAGAAGCAUAGGGCUCCUUCUUUCCGGUGGGCCCAGCACCAUAGAGGGUCGCCCCCACCGCGUUCCUAGAGCGGCAGCUCGGCGCCGACUGACGGCGCGGCCCUCACUUCCGGCGGCGCGAGGGGCGCCCAGCGAGUGAGCGAGCCAGGGUGGCGGCCGGCGGCCCGCGGCGCGAAAAUUCUGAGCUGAGGAGCUCUAGGAGGUGAAACUUCAGAAGAAGAGAGCAGACUCUUAAGAGUACAUCUGGCUCAUCACCAUGAGGUUAGGAAAACCUAAGGGAGGUAUUUCUCGGAGCUCAAGCCAAGGAAAAGCUUAUGAGAACCCACGCAAAACAGGCCGGCAGCGGCAAAAAUGGGGAAUGACUGUUCGAUUUGACUCAAGCUUGAGUAGACUGAGAAGAAGGUUGGAUGAGAAGCCCUAUAAAUGUACUGAAUGUGAAAAGAGUUUCAGUCAGAGCUCAACUCUUUUUCAACACCAGAAGAUUCACACCGGAAAGAAAUCCCAUAAAUGUGCCGAUUGCGGGAAAAGUUUCUUUCAGAGCUCUAACCUCAUUCAGCAUCGGCGGAUCCAUACUGGGGAAAAGCCCUAUAAAUGUGAUGAGUGUGGAGAAAGGUUUAAACAGAGUUCAAAUCUCAUUCAACACCAGAGAAUUCAUACUGGAGAAAAACCCUAUCAGUGUGAUGAGUGUGGCCGAUGUUUCAGCCAGAGUUCCCACCUUAUUCAACAUCAGAGAACCCACACAGGGGAGAAGCCCUACCAGUGCAGUGAAUGUGGCAAAUGCUUCAGCCAGAGCUCUCAUCUUAGGCAGCACAUGAAGGUGCACAAAGAAGAGAAACCUCGUAAAACCCGGGGCAAAAAUAUUAGGGCAAAAACUCACUUAGUGUCAUCUUGGAAAGCUGGUACAGGUAGGAAGUCAGUGGCUGGUCUCCGCUAAGUAAAGGGCACUGCGUCAGCCUUCUUUUAAAUACAAAAAUAAAAGCUGUCCCUUUUAGAACUGGAGAUAUUUUGUAAUAGAGCACUUAAAUACUGUAUCCUUUCCUAGCAUGGAAACAUUGGGAGUUUAUGACCUUGGGCUGAGAAAAACUACAAGUCCAGCUGGUCUCAUUUCUUUUUAUGUAACUUGGAAGACAAAAACCCGAAACUAUGUUUUGAGAGAAUAUAAGAUCCUUGACCUCAUAUGAUAGUUGCUUCCUGCAUCAUUUUGACAAAAAUAACUAUGUUUUAAUGGCACGUGUGAAAGUGCAGGUAUUCUAGUGACUCCUCAGUUUUAGGACUUUCUGUGGAAGUAAUUAAAAGGGAGAAGAAAUUAAUUCCGUUAGUGUGGAAGUUCUGCAGCCGAUGAGGAGAUUUUAUGUUUGUAAAGUUUUGUAGUAUAUUAACCAUUUGGUAUGUAAGUAUGACUCAAGACUCAACAUAUUAAAAUGUAUUCCUGUUCACUUAGCUUUUGUUUUUCCCUCCUGCUUACGGACACUUAUUAAUAAACGGAAUUGGAUUUCCCUCUCUUUCACCCAGUGCUUAAUAAGAGAUCCUCUAGAAGCCAAAGUGAGAACUGAAGUAGACCACAAGUCUCCUAUUCCCACUAGCACAGUUCUUUGAGAUGGUGUUACACUGUGCCACUUGCUUCUGAGAGGUUGGGGUGGCUUCGUGUUCACCCGUCCCCAUGCCUUUGUCUUUCGGCAUUCGCUUACCCUCUGACAAACUGAGCCAGCCUGUUAGAUCUACGUGAAUAAAUAAUUAAACCAUAUCCUACCAGCACACUCAACUUGUUAAUUAGAAAUCUACAAUUUACACGCUUCCCUGCUUUCCCCCUUUGAGAGUUUUAGGUAACACUGGUUAUCUUAAACAAAUGCUUGUCGACAGUGAAAGUCAUUUGACUCCAGUGUCCGUGCAUCUGUAGCUCAAUGUGUAGAUUUUGAAAUGUAAGUUAACUUCCUCUGAGUCGAUACGAAUUAUUUAUGAAGUUGAGCAAACCUGUUUCUUAACUUUCGUCAGGACAGUGCCAAGUGUCAGACAUUCUGAUCAGCCUUCAGCUCAGGUUUUAAUUUCUAUUGAAAGCUAACAUUCUUCUGAUUUUUUUGUAUCUUUUGUAAUCAUACCAGUUCCUGCUGUAUUAAUGACAUCCAUAAAAAUAAAGAAAAUGAAAUAUUUUGCAUACGA